Molecule: transfer RNA, 100 nt
Filed under: Mycolicibacterium sediminis
Lineage: Bacteria; Bacillati; Actinomycetota; Actinomycetes; Mycobacteriales; Mycobacteriaceae
Description: tRNA-Gly
Source: RNAcentral
GGUGCUGCUCGCAGCAUUUGGCCAGCUCCUCGCCCCUUUCCCACAGGGUCAGGGACUCGUCCAGGCUGAGGCCGCCCUGUUCGAGACGGCGUACCACCUC